Molecule: ribosomal RNA, 484 nt
Filed under: uncultured bacterium
Lineage: Bacteria
Description: partial 16S ribosomal RNA
Rfam family: Bacterial small subunit ribosomal RNA
Source: RNAcentral
GAUUAACGCUAGCGGCAGGCAUAAUACAUGCAAGUUGAACGGCAGCACAGGUAGCAAUACUGGGUGGCGAGUGGCGCACGGGUGCGUAACACGUAUGCAACCUACCCUAUACAGGCGAAUAACCUUUAGAAAUGAGGGCUAAUACGCCGUAGUAUUACAGAUGGGCAUCUAUUUGUAAUUAAAGAUCUAUCGGUAUAGGAUGGGCAUGCGUCCCAUUAGUUAGUUGGUAAGGUAACGGCUUACCAAGACGAUGAUGGGUAGGGGAUCGGAGAGGACUUACCCCCACACUGGUACUGAGAACCGGACCAGACACCUACGGCAGGCAGCAGUAAGGAAUACUGGGCAAUGGCCGCGAGGCUGACCCAGCCAUGCCUGGUGCAGGAAGACGGCCUUAUGGGUUGUAAACUGCUUUUAUACGGGAAUAAUAGAGUGUACGCGUACAUUUAUGCAAGUAUCGGAUGAAUAAGCAUCGGCUAACUCCGUG